RNAcentral lists this ribosomal RNA (454 nucleotides) under uncultured Rhizobium sp. RNAcentral describes it as "bacterial SSU rRNA". It matches the Rfam family "Bacterial small subunit ribosomal RNA", at positions 9 to 507 of the family's 1533-position model. The record is from RNAcentral. Lineage: Bacteria; Pseudomonadati; Pseudomonadota; Alphaproteobacteria; Hyphomicrobiales; Rhizobiaceae.
GUAGUUUGACGUCCUGGCUCGAAGACGACGCUGGCGGCAGGCUUAACACAUGCAAGUCGAGCGCCCCGCAAGGGGAGCGGCAGACGGGUGAGUAACGCGUGGGAAUCUACCCGUUUUCUACGGAAUAACGCAGGGAAACUUGUGCUAAUACCGUAUGUGUCCUUCGGGAGAAAGAUUUAUCGGGAAAGGAUGAGCCCGCGUUGGAUUAGCUAGUUGGUGGGGUAAAGGCCUACCAAGGCGACGAUCCAUAGCUGGUCUGAGAGGAUGAUCAGCCACAUUGGGACUGAGACACGACCCAAACUCCUACGGGAGGCAGCAGUGGGGAAUAUUGGACAAUGGGCGCAAGCCUGAUCCAGCCAUGCCGCGUGAGUGAUGAAGGCCCUAGGGUUGUAAAGCUCUUUCACCGGAGAAGAUAAUGACGGUAUCCGGAGAAGAAGCCCCGGCUAACUUCGUG